This 72-nucleotide transfer RNA is filed under the name Nanobdellota archaeon. RNAcentral describes it as "tRNA-Phe". It matches the Rfam family "tRNA". Rfam says of the family: Transfer RNA (tRNA) molecules are approximately 80 nucleotides in length. Their secondary structure includes four short double-helical elements and three loops (D, anti-codon, and T loops). Further hydrogen bonds mediate the characteristic L-shaped molecular structure. tRNAs have two regions of fundamental functional importance: the anti-codon, which is responsible for specific mRNA codon recognition, and the 3' end, to which the tRNAs corresponding amino acid is attached (by aminoacyl-tRNA synthetases). tRNAs cope with the degeneracy of the genetic code in two manners: having more than one tRNA (with a specific anti-codon) for a particular amino acid; and 'wobble' base-pairing, i.e. permitting non-standard base-pairing at the 3rd anti-codon position. RNAcentral also lists the same sequence under 1 other name. The record is from RNAcentral. Lineage: Archaea; Nanobdellati; Nanobdellota.
GGGGGAGUAGCUCAUUGGGAGAGCACUACGCUGAAGACGUAGGUGUAGCGUGUUCGAUUCACGCCUUCCCCA